CAGUCGACGAUGAAGCCCUUCGGGGUGGAUUAGUGGCGAACGGGUGAGUAACACGUGGGCAAUCUGCCCUUCACUCUGGGACAAGCCCUGGAAACGGGGUCUAAUACCGGAUACCACUCCUGCCCGCAUGGGCGGGGGUUGAAAGCUCCGGCGGUGAAGGAUGAGCCCGCGGCCUAUCAGCUUGUUGGUGGGGUAAUGGCCCACCAAGGCGACGACGGGUAGCCGGCCUGAGAGGGCGACCGGCCACACUGGGACUGAGACACGGCCCAGACUCCUACGGGAGGCAGCAGUGGGGAAUAUUGCACAAUGGGCGAAAGCCUGAUGCAGCGACGCCGCGUGAGGGAUGACGGCCUUCGGGUUGUAAACCUCUUUCAGCAGGGAAGAAGCGAAAGUGACGGUACCUGCAGAAGAAGCGCCGGCUAACUACGUGCCAGCAGCCGCGGUAAUACGUAGGGCGCAAGCGUUGUCCGGAAUUAUUGGGCGUAAAGAGCUCGUAGGCGGCUUGUCACGUCGGAUGUGAAAGCCCGAGGCUUAACCUCGGGUCUGCAUUCGAUACGGGCUAGCUAGAGUGUGGUAGGGGAGAUCGGAAUUCCUGGUGUAGCGGUGAAAUGCGCAGAUAUCAGGAGGAACACCGGUGGCGAAGGCGGAUCUCUGGGCCAUUACUGACGCUGAGGAGCGAAAGCGUGGGGAGCGAACAGGAUUAGAUACCCUGGUAGUCCACGCCGUAAACGUUGGGAACUAGGUGUUGGCGACAUUCCACGUCGUCGGUGCCGCAGCUAACGCAUUAAGUUCCCCGCCUGGGGAGUACGGCCGCAAGGGCUAAAACUCAAAGGAAUUGACGGGGGCCCG
RNAcentral lists this ribosomal RNA (849 nucleotides) under Streptomyces sp. 0112ALTPS46,2. RNAcentral describes it as "bacterial SSU rRNA". It matches the Rfam family "Bacterial small subunit ribosomal RNA", at positions 59 to 923 of the family's 1533-position model. Lineage: Bacteria; Bacillati; Actinomycetota; Actinomycetes; Kitasatosporales; Streptomycetaceae. The record is from RNAcentral.